Molecule: ribosomal RNA, 253 nt
Filed under: uncultured bacterium
Lineage: Bacteria
Description: partial 16S ribosomal RNA
Rfam family: Bacterial small subunit ribosomal RNA
Source: RNAcentral
UACAGAGGGUGCAAGCGUUAUUCGGAAUCACUGGGCGUAAAGCGCGCGUAGGCCGCUCGGUAAGUCUGAUGUGAAAGCCCUGGGCUCAACCCAGGAAGUGCAUUGGAUACUGCCGAGCUAGAGUACAGAAGAGGACAGUGGAAUUUCUGGUGUAGAGGUGAAAUUCGUAGAUAUCAGAAGGAACAACAGUGGCGAAGGCGACUGUCUGGGCUGUUACUGACGCUGAGGCGCGAAAGCGUGGGGAGCAAACAGG